GAACCUUACCAGCCCUUGACAUCCCGGUCGCGGGAACCAGAGAUGGAUCCCUUCAGUUCGGCUGGACCGGAGACAGGUGCUGCAUGGCUGUCGUCAGCUCGUGUCGUGAGAUGUUGGGUUAAGUCCCGCAACGAGCGCAACCCUCGCCCUUAGUUGCCAUCAUUUAGUUGGGCACUCUAAGGGGACUGCCGGUGAUAAGCCGCGAGGAAGGUGGGGAUGACGUCAAGUCCUCAUGGCCCUUACGGGCUGGGCUACACACGUGCUACAAUGGCGGUGACAGUGGGAUGCAAUGGAGCAAUCCUGCGCAAAUCUCAAAAAGCCGUCUCAGUUCGGAUUGUGCUCUGCAACUCGAGCACAUGAAGUUGGAAUCGCUAGUAAUCGCAGAUCAGCACGCUGCGGUGAAUACGUUCCCGGGCCUUGUCACACCGA
This 429-nucleotide ribosomal RNA is filed under the name uncultured soil bacterium. RNAcentral describes it as "bacterial SSU rRNA". It matches the Rfam family "Bacterial small subunit ribosomal RNA", at positions 966 to 1393 of the family's 1533-position model. The record is from RNAcentral.